CAUAGCGACUAUCGUGGCAUAUCAAUAAGCGGAGGAAAAGAAACUAACAAGGAUUCCCCUAGUAACGGCGAGUGAAGCGGGAAGAGCUCAAAUUUGAAAUCUUCAAGGUUUUACCUUGACGAAUUGUAGUUUAAAGAAGUGUUUUCUGUUAGAGAGUAGGUAAAAGUUCUUUGGAAUAGGACAUCAUAGAGGGUGAGAAUCCCGUAUUCGACCAGUUACUUUCCAGCUGUGUGAUACACUUUCAAAGAGUCGGAUUGUUUGGGAAUGCAGUCCAAAAUGGGUGGUAAAUUUCAUCUAAAGCUAAAUAUUGGCGAGAGACCGAUAGCGAACAAGUACCGUGAGGGAAAGAUGAAAAGAACUUUGAAAAGAGAGUUAAACAGUACGUGAAAUUGUCAAAAGGGAAGCGUUUGACACCAGUGUUGUUUUCUCGAAAAUCAAUUAAAAAUAAAUUUGAUUUUGUGUUGUAUUGACCUUAAAAGCUUUCUUCACUUUUUUCAUGUUUAUUUUUAAUGCACUUUUCGUUUAACAAGUCAACAUCAGUUUCUUUGUUGUAAAAAGGUCAUUGGAAGGUGGCUUUCUUUUCGGAGAAAGUGUUUAUAGCCUUUGACUCCUGCAAUCGGAGAGACUGAGGUCUACAGCGUAGAUCCUUCUGGAUUAGAUUCAUUUGUGCUAAGUUAUAGCUUUUCAGUAGACAACUUGUUGACUAUGUUUAGUCAUGUAGCUUACUCGCUUAUGUAAUUUUACCUACGCUUAGGAUGUUGAUAGUCACAGCGUGUAC
RNAcentral lists this ribosomal RNA (778 nucleotides) under uncultured Neocallimastigales. RNAcentral's name for it is "partial large subunit ribosomal RNA". It matches the Rfam family "Eukaryotic large subunit ribosomal RNA", at positions 22 to 610 of the family's 3401-position model. The record is from RNAcentral. Lineage: Eukaryota; Fungi; Neocallimastigomycota; Neocallimastigomycetes; Neocallimastigales.